This 511-nucleotide ribosomal RNA is filed under the name uncultured bacterium. Its description in RNAcentral is "partial 16S ribosomal RNA". It matches the Rfam family "Bacterial small subunit ribosomal RNA", at positions 28 to 523 of the family's 1533-position model. The record is from RNAcentral.
GACGAACGCUGGCGGCGUGCCUAACACAUGCAAGUCGAGCGGAAAGUUAGCAAUAACUUUUAGUGGCGAACGGGUGAGUAACGCGUGGGCAACCUGCCCUUCAGACGGGGACAACAUUCCGAAAGGAGUGCUAAUACCGGAUACGACCUUUAGACCGCAUGAUUUAAAGAAGAAAGGUGGCCUCUAUUUAUAAGCUACCGCUGAAGGAUGGGCCUGCGUCUGAUUAGCUAGUUGGUGGGGUAAAGGCCUACCAAGGCGACGAUCAGUAGCCGGUCUGAGAGGAUGAACGGCCACACUGGACUGAGACACGGCCCAGACUCCUACGGGAGGCAGCAGUAGGGAAUCUUCCGCAAUGGACGAAAGUCUGACGGAGCAACGCCGCGUGAGUGACGAAGGUUUUCGGAUCGUAAAACUCUGUUGUGAGGGAAGAACAAGUACCAACUAACUACUGGUACCUUGACGGUACCUCACCAGAAAGCCACGGCUAACUACGUGCCAGCCGCCGCAGUAA